This 272-nucleotide ribosomal RNA is filed under the name uncultured prokaryote. RNAcentral describes it as "partial 16S ribosomal RNA". It matches the Rfam family "Bacterial small subunit ribosomal RNA", at positions 524 to 796 of the family's 1533-position model. The record is from RNAcentral.
UACGGGGGGGGCAAGCGUUGUUCGGAAUUACUGGGCGUAAAGGGCUCGUAGGCGGCCAACUAAGUCAUACGUGAAAUCCCUCGGCUUAACCGGGGAACUGCGUCUGAUACUGGAUGGCUUGAGUUCGGGAGAGGGAUGCGGAAUUCCAGGUGUAGCGGUGAAAUGCGUAGAUAUCUGGAGGAACACCGGUGGCGAAGGCGGCAUCCUGGACCGAUACUGACGCUGAGGAGCGAAAGCCAGGGGAGCAAACGGGAUUAGAUACCCGGUAGUCC